UACGGAGGGGGCUAGCGUUGUUCGGAAUUACUGGGCGUAAAGCGCGCGUAGGCGGACCUGCAAGUCGGGGGUGAAAGCCCGAGGCUCAACCUCGGAACUGCCUUCGAUACUGCGGGUCUCGAGUCCGGGAGAGGUGAGUGGAAUUCCUAGUGUAGAGGUGAAAUUCGUAGAUAUUAAGAAGAACACCAGUGGCGAAGGCGGCUCACUGGCCCGGUACUGACGCUGAGGCGCGAAAGCGUGGGGAGCAAACAGG
Molecule: ribosomal RNA, 253 nt
Filed under: uncultured bacterium
Lineage: Bacteria
Description: partial 16S ribosomal RNA
Rfam family: Bacterial small subunit ribosomal RNA
Source: RNAcentral